GAUGAACGCUGGCGGCGUGCUUAACACAUGCAAGUCGAACGGAGUUUUACUUAUUGAAGAAUUUAGCUUGCUAUUGACUGAUAUUUGUAAAACUUAGUGGCGGACGGGUGAGUAACGCGUGGGUAACCUGCCGUAUACAGGGGGACAACAGUUGGAAACGACUGCUAAUACCGCAUAAGCGCACAGCAUCGCAUGAUGCAGUGUGAAAAACUCCGGUGGUAUACGAUGGACCCGCGUCUGAUUAGCUAGUUGGUGAGGUAACGGCCCACCAAGGCGACGAUCAGUAGCCGGCCUGAGAGGGUGAACGGCCACAUUGGGACUGAGACACGGCCCAAACUCCUACGGGGAGGCAGCAGUGGGGAAUAUUGCACAAUGGGGGAAACCCUGAUGCAGCGACGCCGCGUGAGUGAAGAAGUAUUUCGGGUAUGUAAAGCUCUAUCAGCAGGGAAGAAAAUGACGGUACCUGACUAAGAAGCCCCGGCUAACUACGUGCCAG
This 496-nucleotide ribosomal RNA is filed under the name uncultured bacterium. RNAcentral's name for it is "bacterial SSU rRNA". It matches the Rfam family "Bacterial small subunit ribosomal RNA", at positions 28 to 511 of the family's 1533-position model. The record is from RNAcentral.